AAGCAGGGGAUCGUAAGACCUUGUGCUUUUGGAGUGGCCGAUGCCUGAUUAGCUAGUUGGUGGGGUAAGGGCCUACCAAGGCGACGAUCAGUAGUUGGUCUGAGAGGACGACCAGCCACACUGGGACUGAGACACGGCCCAGACUCCUACGGGAGGCAGCAGUGGGGAAUUUUGGACAAUGGGCGAAAGCCUGAUCCAGCAAUGCCGCGUGAGUGAAGAAGGCCUUCGGGUUGUAAAGCUCUUUCAGUCGAGAAGAAAAGGUUGCGACGAAUAAUCGUAACUCAUGACGGUAUCGACAGAAGAAGCACCGGCUAACUACGUGCCAGCAGCCGCGGUAAUACGUAGGGUGCGAGCGUUAAUCGGAAUUACUGGGCGUAAAGGGUGCGCAGGCGGCUUUGUAAGUCAGAUGUGAAAUCCCCGGGCUUAACCUGGGAAUUGCGUUUGAAACUACAAAGCUUAGA
Molecule: ribosomal RNA, 461 nt
Filed under: uncultured ammonia-oxidizing beta proteobacterium
Lineage: Bacteria; Pseudomonadati; Pseudomonadota; Betaproteobacteria
Description: bacterial SSU rRNA
Rfam family: Bacterial small subunit ribosomal RNA
Source: RNAcentral